Molecule: long non-coding RNA, 566 nt
Organism: Oncorhynchus gorbuscha (pink salmon)
Lineage: Eukaryota; Metazoa; Chordata; Actinopteri; Salmoniformes; Salmonidae
Exons: 3
Source: RefSeq, a predicted model, not a curated record
UUCCCGCGGCUAUGCGUGCUGGACGGUGCCUGAACCUGCCUUGUUGGUUCUUGACUGGGGUUAGCUAACUAGAAUUAGAGCCUUCUGGCUAGCCUGUAAUUUAUGGUUGUAAUUACGUUGCGUAACAGCAAAAUGUCUAUGUACUUGUCAUUUGGUUGUAACUAACAUUUGUUUAAAUUGGCUAGCUAAUGUUUUGAAGAGAACAGGCUAGCUCCCUGUAGAAUCUAGACCAGAGUGGAUGCCCAGGUGUGAGGCUGAUGCAGUGCCCAGACGAGAUGAGAGCAAUCUUCUACAGAGUUAAGAUCUGCCAAACACAACUCUGUCUCUGACAGAUUCUCCCUGUGCUGACCACCGAUGGAUGUUACACAUGAGAGCUGCCGUUGAUGGACUCCUGGUCAAGCAACACAGGGAGAAAGACAUCCUGAAGCAGGACUCUCCAAUGCUAUGUUGAACGAGCACCGCAGAUGAAAACAGAUAGCUUCUCUCUACCACACCUUCACCAAGUCAUCCAAUUUUUUGCUUCAUUUUCUAAAAUAAAUACAGAAUUAAUUUUGUUUCUAAUAGUU